RNAcentral lists this ribosomal RNA (420 nucleotides) under uncultured eukaryote. RNAcentral describes it as "bacterial SSU rRNA". It matches the Rfam family "Eukaryotic small subunit ribosomal RNA", at positions 592 to 1018 of the family's 1831-position model. The record is from RNAcentral.
CAAUAGCGUAUAUUAAAGUUGUUGCAGUUAAAAAGCUCGUAGUUGGAUUUCUGGGAGGGUGCCAAUGUCCGUCGUCGUACGUGUUGCAGCGGCGCCCUUCCAUCCUUCUGUUAACGACUUUGGGCAUUCACUUGCCGGAGUCGGGCUCAGAUAUUUUACCUUGAGAAAAUUAGAGUGUUUCAAGCAGGCAUACGCCUUGAAUACAUUAGCAUGGAAUAAUAAGAUAGGACCUCGGUUCUAUUUUGUUGGUUUCUAGAGCUGAGGUAAUUAUUAAUAGGGAUAGUUGGGGGCAUUCAUAUUUAAUUGUCAGAGGUGAAAUUCUUGGAUUUAUGAAAGAUGAACUUCUGCGAAAGCAUUUGCCAAGGAUGUUUUCAUUAAUCAAGAACGAAAGUUAGGGGAUCGAAGACGAUUAGAUACCGU